UAUUAAUUUUGCUGCAUUAUUGAUGGUAUAUGGAAAUAUUUGAACUUUGGAGAGUUCCACGAAUUUAAGAAAUAUAAAUUAUUACACACAGAGAAAUGAUUGCUUUCGUAUGCGUAAGUGGGAAUGUAGUUCAUUUAGGUGGCCUUUUUCAAGGAAGAAAAGUAUUAAUGGACAUUGGCAUGGAUGACAAUUUUUUAAGAUGACGAACUCUUGUGGUUUAUUCUCUGUGCGGAUCACUGAAUGAGCAACUGCUCCAAAAUUGUUCGCGGUAGGGUCUUUUCUAUGAUGAUGUUCCUGCAGGCAAAACUUACGAUAAUUCUCCAGUGCAAAUAUAGUUAUAAAAACUUUCCUUUGGAUUCCUAGUUUGAACUACGGAAGAUCGAGAACUAGAGAUUCUAUCGCUAAAAGUGAAAUCCCGAUUCCACUUCUAGAUUAUUUGAAAAAUUACAUCUAAGUUUAUGCUAGCAAUUGGAUAACCCAAUCCUCAAUGGCCAACAAUAGAAUUAGUAAUGCAAAUGGUUUUUGGUAUUUGGUAUGUAUAUAUAAAGUAGAUGUAAGGCUUUUAAAUGUGAUUUGUAUUUUCAUUUUC
This is a long non-coding RNA of Toxorhynchites rutilus septentrionalis, 589 nucleotides long. RefSeq lists it as uncharacterized. The transcript has 3 exons. Lineage: Eukaryota; Metazoa; Arthropoda; Insecta; Diptera; Culicidae. The record is from RefSeq and is a predicted model, not a curated record.